CUAAGGCACAUGUCCAUUAACGCC
Molecule: non-coding RNA, 24 nt
Filed under: Arabidopsis thaliana (thale cress)
Lineage: Eukaryota; Viridiplantae; Streptophyta; Magnoliopsida; Brassicales; Brassicaceae
Source: RNAcentral